UGGCAGUAACUUAGUGUCAUGGCAGC
This 26-nucleotide non-coding RNA is filed under the name Homo sapiens (human). The record is from RNAcentral. Lineage: Eukaryota; Metazoa; Chordata; Mammalia; Primates; Hominidae.